Molecule: long non-coding RNA, 875 nt
Filed under: Rattus norvegicus (Norway rat)
Lineage: Eukaryota; Metazoa; Chordata; Mammalia; Rodentia; Muridae
Description: long non-coding RNA NONRATT010168
Source: RNAcentral
GGCCCUCCCAGCCCCAGGAGUGCGGGCGCCCGCAGGAGGCCCGUCGUCGCUGCUUGGGACCCCGGCCCAGCUAUCCCAGCCGCUUGGGACGUGCGGCGGCGCGGAGUGAGGUUCCUGAAGGCUUCAAAGGAAACCUGACAGGGGAGGCUCCAUGUCCCUGGGUGAAGAUGAGGCUGAGACAAAAGUGUCUGUCAACACAGAGGUCCCAUCCUGUGGCAGGUGGGACUCUGGGAAUCUGCUGUCCCCAGGGCAAGAACCAGAGCAUCUGGAAGUCCAGGGAGGGCCACAGUGGAGGGCCGAGGCUGACCCUGGCUGCAUCUCUGGAGUUUUCUUGUCACAGACCUACACUGCCAGCAAAGAACCAGUAGCAGGCAGGUCUGAGCCUCCCCUCAGUGGCCCACUUCCUUCUGCCAGUGUGGGAACUGGAGAGCUUUUACACCCUAUGGGAAGCCAAAUGGAGGAAAACAAGCCUCCUGCCUCCCGGGACCUACUUCCAGCUAUUAAAGUCCUUGGAACUAUAACCGUUUGCUCAGGACGUGAGGCUGACAGUGAAGACUUCCAGCCUGCAGUUGCUCCAUCUCAGGUGUUGGGCCUUGGCCAGCAGCCACACAUCUCAGGUCUCCCUCUCCUGUCCCAGUGGAAGCCCACGGUGAGCCCAGGCGCUCCUCAGCUCUCUAGCAGAAGCAUCUCUGUCUCCUCAGUGGGCAGCAGUCUCCAGGACCACCUAGACAAGGCAGAACCUCAGAGUGGCUCCUUUGCCCACAUCUCCUCUCAGGAGUUGACUGUACCCCAGGCAGCCCACUCUGUGGUGGGGGCAGGGUCUCCAUUCCAGUGGUCAACACAGCCUGUGGCCUCUGGCGGUGAUGCUACAGGCC